UGGGGAAUAUUGCACAAUGGGCGCAAGCCUGAUGCAGCCAUGCCGCGUGUAUGAAGAAGGCCUUCGGGUUGUAAAGUACCUUCAGCGGGGAGGAAGGGAGUAAAGUUAAUACCUUUGCUCAUUGACGUUACCCGCAGAAGAAGCACCGGCUAACUCCGUGCCAGCAGCCGCGGUAAUACGGAGGGGGCAAGCGUUAAUCGGAAUUACUGGGCGUAAAGCGCACGCAGGCGGUUUGUUAAGUCAGAUGUGAAAUCCCCGGGCUCAACCUGGGAACUGCAGCUGAUACUGGCAAGCUUGAGUGUCGUAGAGGGGGGUAGAAUUCCAGGUGUAGCGGUGAAAUGCGUAGAGAUCUGGAGGAAUACCGGUGGCGACGGCGGCCCCCUGGACGAAGACUGACGCUCAGGUGCGAAAGCGUGGGGAGCGAACAGG
RNAcentral lists this ribosomal RNA (429 nucleotides) under Chloroflexota bacterium. RNAcentral describes it as "Chloroflexi bacterium partial 16S ribosomal RNA". It matches the Rfam family "Bacterial small subunit ribosomal RNA", at positions 355 to 776 of the family's 1533-position model. The record is from RNAcentral. Lineage: Bacteria; Bacillati; Chloroflexota.